Molecule: ribosomal RNA, 468 nt
Filed under: uncultured bacterium
Lineage: Bacteria
Description: partial 16S ribosomal RNA
Rfam family: Bacterial small subunit ribosomal RNA
Source: RNAcentral
GACGAACGCUGGCGGCGUGCUUAACACAUGCAAGUCGAACGGAAAGGCCCUGCUUUUGUGGGGUGCUCGAGUGGCGAACGGGUGAGUAACACGUGAGUAACCUGCCCUUGACUUUGGGAUAACUUCAGGAAACUGGGGCUAAUACCGGAUAGGAGCUCCUGCUGCAUGGUGGGGGUUGGAAAGUUUCGGCGGUUGGGGAUGGACUCGCGGCUUAUCAGCUUGUUGGUGGGGUAGUGGCUUACCAAGGCUUUGACGGGUAGCCGGCCUGAGAGGGUGACCGGCCACAAUGGGACUGAGAUACGGCCCAGACUCCUACGGGAGGCAGCAGUGGGGAAUAUUGCACAAUGGGCGGAAGCCUGAUGCAGCAACGCCGCGUGCGGGAUGACGGCCUUCGAGUUGUAAACCGCUUUCGCCUGUGACGAAGCGUGAGUGACGGUAAUGGGUAAAGAAGCACCGGCUAACUACGUG